RNAcentral lists this small RNA (9809 nucleotides) under Pyricularia oryzae. Its description in RNAcentral is "Magnaporthe oryzae sRNA M_BR32_EuGene_00106381". The record is from RNAcentral. Lineage: Eukaryota; Fungi; Ascomycota; Sordariomycetes; Magnaporthales; Pyriculariaceae.
AUUUGUUAAAUCUCAGUUGAAAAUUACAGAUGAGGCAGACCAGAAAUAUGACACUUGGGAAUAAAAGUAAAUAAAUAGACUUUAAAUAAGACAACCAAUUUGACAGCUAAUACAUUUGAUUAAAAUAUAUAAUAAUUGUGUUUAAAAUGCCCUAAAUAGGGGGGGGUAAUAUAACGGUAUUUACUAUGAAUUUUGCGAUUUCUAUCCGAAUAUUUAAAAAUGCACAGUAAUUUAACUAUAUAACCUUUCGCCCUUACGGUAUAGUGUGAAUACUAUACAAAUUUGCUAGCAAACGGCGAAAGUCGACAAAACGUCCUUAUAUUAAAAGGAGCGCUUUCUUUUCGGUUAAUUCUAUUGGUUAAAAAGCCAUGCUGCUGGUAAGGUACAUGGAGCGCUCCGUCCACCUGCAACGCAGGGGGUUUAGUCUGAGCACUGAGACUAUUAUGGAAAUCGUGGCAUGCGGGGCAUUAUUUGCGGUUUGUAGAAAGGCUGUAGCUGUCAAGGACGCACUAUAUUAUUUUGCAGAACUUAUACACGUCGACUUCCCAGUCGAGCCUGUUAUCAACUGCGAUGCUCUUGGCAUUUUAGGCGAUUUCUUAAGCCAAUGCCUAGGACGUAAACUCCACAGUCGAAUUUAUUGGUUUGCUGGGGAACCUUGACCCAGAUAUGUCCCACUGUAGCUAGGUAUAUUUUUAUAAUCUCCGAGAUACUUAACCAUUUUGAAAGAAUUACGUUAUGUCUUUCGAGCGGGAGCGGAGUCCCAAAAGAAUCGAGGAGAGGAAUACAAUUCUGUCGUAUUUACCCUACUUUAUUUACCCUUGUAGUUUAUUUAUCCAUGCGGACAGGAUACAGUAGCACUAAUUUCGUUGGGACGCCUUUGUGGUAACUUGUGUUUGCAUUAAGGAUGUAGACCGGGGAAACACUACUAACUAAAGAUAAUAUAAUGUCCGGGCACGUUAUUUAUACCAUAUUAUAUGCUGGGGAAACUACUGCUACUUGAAAAGGAAAUUGGGUUGAAAUUAACCCCAACCGGAGGGUGGAUGCCUUCUCAGUGUAGAAAACAAGCUCCAUAACUUAUACCAGGAUAAUAUCUGCGCCGAAUCUCGACACGCAAAAUUUCCUUUUUUGGAUGCGCCCCUAAAUUUGCACUGAACCGCACUAAACUGGCCUAAACUUACCCUAAAUUGCAAUAAAUUGCACUGAACUGCCCUAAAUUUACCUUGAACCGCACUAAAUUGCACCGAACUGCACUAAAUUAUUAUUAUCCUAUUUUGGGUUAUUAACCCUGUACCACAUUUUGUGGUGGUCCAUUUUCGGAAUUCCUAAACAUUUUUUUCAGCGUACAGUAAUGCAAAAUAACAAAAUUGAGACGAAAAGGCAAAUUACUGGGUUAAAAUUGUUACAUUUUAAUAUUAUUUCUUAUUUACGUUUGCGAUAUAUUUUAAAUCGUAAUUACGGAAUUUUGACCGUAAACUUUUUGGUUUUAAUUGUACACCGACCUAAAUAAUAAUAGGAUAUACCACUAAUUAAAAGUUUUAAUUUGUCGCCCAGGUUAUUUUUUAGCAAUAUAUUAUAAAUUUCCCUUUUAAAUUUCUUUUGCUAUAUAAUUUUAGGCUGCCAUUGUUAAAUAAUUUAAAGGUGAGUGUUAUUUAAAUUUCUGGCGCAAUCGCCAAAUUCCAUUUUUGGUAAUGUCAGGGCUUAUUCCUGAAACCCAGAGCUCCAUAAUUAAGCCGCGUCGCCGUGGCUCAAUUCGUGGCUUUGCUUGUACCUGUGGGUCCAACCAAAGAACUCUCUGGUUUUUGGGCCUUCGGUUAAAAUUGCCCAACCAAAAACGGGCAUGUCCAGAAACUGGGUAGGGUUUGGCCCAAUUUCGACCUUUCCGUAUUCCAAAUUUAUUUUUUUGGAAUCCUAGUUUUAAACCUUCCAAUAUUCCAAACAUCCCAAUAUUUGACGAUUUUGUCGACAAAAGUCCAAGUUAAUAGCAAACUGUUUUUGGGUUUGUGGGGUCCAAUAAUAGGUUCCAAUUUCGGUAGCCGAUAAUCGUUGCGAAGGUUCUUUGGCUUUCGAUAUUGGUUGGGCGCCGCGUAUUCGGCCGUGGAGGGUGGCAUAUGGAAUUCCGUGUUAAAUCGCGGCCUUUCGGAUUCCAACGCCGUUAGCGACUUGUAUAUAAACCUAUUCGAUAUUAUAUUCGCAAUAUUGCUUUAUCUUUACCAAAAAAAUAAUGGAGUAAAAUUUGGGAUUUAUUAACAAAGGUUUAAUGGGAGGAUAGUUUUUUUAUUAUAGAGGUCGCGAUAUUUCAUAUAGUGUGUAAAGUAAUUGGAAAUUAGGGGGUCCGAUUUAAAAGCAGUUUUACCCUAAGGCUAUCUCUCCGCCGACACCUUUGGAUCUUUGCGGGCUUCCUCGAUAAUUCCUCUUAUUCGAAUAUAUAAUCCUAUUUCCUUUAUUUCCCAUUUCCCACCAUUCGGAAAUAUUGUUUUCCGUAAUCGGUUAACCCAAAAUAUUAAUAGCUGGUAAUAUAACGUAAAAUUAUUUUUUGCGGAUUUAAUAAAAUCCUAUUUAUAAAAUAUUUGUCCCUUUUUUUCUUUUACCAACAAUUCCAUAUUAAUAUAAUUUUAUUGGUUAAAUUUAGGAAUAAUUUUGCCUUUAUUUAAUUUUUUAUAAUAAAUAUAUAUCCAAAACAGCACCCAAAAAAACAAUUUAAAAUUAUAUAUAAAUAAAUAUUAUUCGUUUAAAAACGCCCCAAUUAUUAUAAACGCCCGCGUGCCUAUUUUACCUUUUAUUCCAAAAACGCUUUUUCGUAUUUUUCGUACGGCGAGGUCGAAAUUAAUUAAAAAAAAAGGCCAGCAAAAAUUAUUAUUUUCGUUAAUUAUCAAAUUAUUAAUAAAAAUAUCCCGAUAAAAAAAUCCAAUUUUAAAUAAAAAUUCGUAUUUUUAAAUAUAAUUUUCGAACGCGGUAAAAAAAACCGAUUUAAAAUUUGUUUUAUAAAUAGGAUUUUUAUAAUUACGGAAAAUAAUACGUCGGUAUAUACGGUUCGAUAAUCCGUCGCCGUUAAUUUUAAUUGAAAAUACCGAAUAGGAUUAUUUAUUACGGGGAAAAAUGGCGCCAAUUCGGUUAAAUAAUUGUUUUUUAUUAAUAAUACCGCUAUUAUUACGGUUUUUCCGCGAAAUACCAAAUAUAAUUAUAUUUGGAAACGGUAUCGAACGUUCCGACCGGUAAUUCGUAAUUAUUAUAAUAUUUAAUCCUCCACGAACGUUGCUCCAAAUAUCGUUAUUCGUAUUAUAAAUUUAAAUAAUUUCGUGGUGGUAAUAUUGGAUUACGUUAAUUAUAUUUUUUUCGGUUAUUUUUUGGAAUAUAUUUUUUUUAUUUUCGCGUUUCGUAUAUUAUUAUAAAUUUUUAAUUACCAAUUUCGUUUUUGGGUUUUUUUCGCGGUGCGUUUUCCAGCAAAUUAUCGCGCGGCCGAUAACGUAAAAAAUACGCGUUAUUAAUUCGUUAAUAAUAAAACGUUUUGUCCGGCCGUCCCGUUUAAUUAUAAUAAACCGUUGGCCUCUUACCGUAACGACGGUAAAAUUAAAACCAAAUUCCUUUUCGUUUAUUUACAAAAAACCAAAAAUUAUAAUAAUAAAUUCCAACCUAUUUUCGUUAAUAUUAAAUUUUUCGAAUGCAAUUUCGCCUAACCGAUUAAAUUUUUAUAAUUUUAUAAAAAAUCCGCAAAAAAUAAAACCCAAAAUAAAUCGCCGGGUAUUUUGGGCCGCGAGGAUUUUUUUCGUAUAUUUCCCCAAAUUAAACCAUAUUUUUGAAAUUUUAUUAAUAAAACGGUUAUUUUUAAAUUUUCCAAAUAUAAAAAUAUGCGACCAAUAAUAUUUUAAAUUUUUUCCGGCCUCGGGAUUAUCGACCAAACCAAUAUUUAAUUUCCGUUUUCCUAUUAAACCCUAAAUUGGUUUAUUAAAUUAUACCAAUGGUUUUUAUCGAUAUAUUGGGGUCGGUUUAUAAAUUUUUGCAAAUGCGUCCAAUUUUGGAAUUAUAUCGUUAAACCAGGCCAAUAUAUCGUUUUUAUUUACAUUUAACGGCCAUCCGCGCCACCUUUCGCUGCCAAAAAAUGGAUUAUCGUUUUCGGUGCAUUUUUUUAAAACGGUUUUAAAAAUUAUAUAUAAAUUUACCACGCGCCCGAAAAAAACGUCGCGGGCGCCAAAAAACCCAAUAUAAAAAAAACCAAAUUUCGAUUUAAAAAUUUUAUCCACGUUUUAACGGUAUUCCGAAAAAUUGGCAAAAUUAUUAAUAUUAUAUAAUUAUAAAGUUUAUUGGAAAAAAAAUAAUAUAAAUGGCACUAGGCGGGGAAAAAAGGUAAAUUUGGCGACGAUCCGGUAAAUUUAAUUCCAAAUUAGGGUAUUAUUUGGAUUAUCGGUAAAAAUUGCACGUAAAAAAAAUUUAAUACGGUUAAAAUUAAAAUUAUCGGAAAUAACGGCCAAAUUAAAUUUUGCAAUAUAGCCGAGGACGUUUUUACCUGUACCGCCGGAACGGAAUAAACGAAAAACGGGAAAAUUUUAUACUGUUGAAAAAAAAGGAAAAUAAUAGUUUGGAAAUUUAAAUUAAAAUUAAAAAAAAGUAUUAAAAAAAGGCCGGUAAAUUAUUUUAUUUUUUUGGUUAAAUUGGCCCACCGCGUUAAAGGUGCGCGGUAUUUUUUUUUCGUCGCAAAUCGAAUAAAAUAAUACGUAAAAAGUAAUAAAACCAUUUCCGAUAAAAUUAUCCCUAAUAAUUUUUAAUUAAUAUCGAUUUAUUAUAACGGAUUUAAUAAUGGCGCGGUAAAUUUAAUUCCAAAUUAAAAUAUCGGUUAAAUUAUCGGCGAUAAUUAUAUAUAGGAAAAAUUUGGUACGGUUAAAAACGAAAUGGUCGGGAACGAAAAUUUAAAUUGUAAAAAAUUUUAAAAAAUACCGCGAUUUUUUAUAUUAAAUAACAAAUCGCCAACGGUAAAAUUUUGCGCCGUUUUUAAAAAACCGCGAAUAAUUUCCCGGAAUUUUUGCGUAUUAAUUGAAAAAUACGUUUAACGGAAUAUUUGCUAUUUUUUAUUAAAUUACCCUGCGUCCGCAUUCCGUAAACCUUUUUAUUUUCGCGGAUCGAAUUAAACGAAACGCGGAUUUUUUCCAAUAAAAUUAUUUUAAAUAAUUUCUCGUCUGGGUUUAUAUAUUAUGGCGGAUUAAAUGUUGAAAUGGAAAGACCGUCGGACGCAACCGACGUAAAAUCGAAAUUAUAAUUGCUGCCAACCAUUCAAAUGCACGUGCUGAUAAUUUUAUUAAUAUAUGGGCCCUUCCAAUACCUCCUUAUCCGCCUCCUUAGGUUAUUACCCUGGUAGGGCGCUAGGACCACUGUUUUAUAAGACGCCCAUUAAUUAAUUGUCAAAGGGCUUAUAUUGCAUUAAAUAAUUAGUAGAAUCUUGGUAUUACAUGACGACAGGAGUUUAAUUAGCGCUAGGAGCACGAUUAAAGCGCUGUCACACUCUUUAGGCUAGAUAGCACCACCUAAAACAAUAUAUGGCUCUCCUACCCAAUUAAUGUGCCUGCUCGUGUACGUAGGUGUGCGUUAGCUUACCCCUACCCCUUGCAUUAUCGCUUGCCAACCAUUCGCUGUUGCUGGCAAUUGUUUAUUUUCCACGCUGGGGGCGCCCGGUUUAUUAAUAACAGCUUUUAUUUUCCGCCUGUUUUUUAUUUGUAUUUUAAUUAGCAGGUAAAUCCGUUCGAUAAACGCAAAAACGUUGCGAAAAUGCGAUAGUAAAACCGACGCAAUUAAUUUGCAUUUUAUCCUAUUUAAUCCUCGCACAUUUUUUUAAUUUUUAAAAUAGGUAAAAACGUUAUAAUAAAUAAAAAUUGGGAAGCACACGCAAUUUAAUUAUAUGCAGGAAAACGGGCGAAUAUAAAUUGUUAAAAUAUAUAGCGGUGUUAAUCCGGAUCGCAAUUUUUAAAACGAUUUAUAUGGGGGUAUAUCCAUAAUGGGGCCCCCGAUUUAAUUUUAUAAAUACCACCUAUUAUAUACCUUCCCCCUCCCACCAGCGAAUGCAAUUUUGCCCAAAAUAUUAAUAAAUAAACGUUAUAAAAUAUACCCCUGGUGCAAAUAUCUUUACAAUUUAUUAAAUUUUGUUUUUAUUUUCCGGUUUAUAUCGGUUUUUUGCUUUUGUAAAAAUUGGAAUUGGUUUUUAAUAAUUGGGUAUUUUUAAUUAUUUAUUGCGAAAUAUACCUAAAGGGCCAUUAAAAUUAAAUAAAUUAACGAAAAUUUUAAUUGGGCAAUCGCGCGUGCUAUUUAUUGCAAAACCAGCGAUUUUACCACCGAAAUUUUUAUUAUUAUUUAUAAAUUGUAAAAAUUGCAGGUUUAAAUAUUUGUAUAUCGAGGAUUACCAGCGUAUUAUAUAUUUAUUUAUUUACGUAUGGGCGGGUGCAUAUUAACUUUGGUUAAUUUUGGUUAUAUAUUUUGGUUAAAUUUUUAUUAAUAUUAUAAUUUUUCCUAUUAGUAAUUUGGCAACCAGGAUUUGUGGUAUUCGGGCAAUUUAAUUAUUACCAAAACGAAAACGCCAUUUUUGGUAAUUCAAAAAUUAAUCCACGCCCUCCCUCACGUUUUUACCUUAUAAUCGAUUUUGCACAUUAUUAUCCUUGGUUUUAUUUUUUUUUUACAAAAUACCCCUGGUUUACCCUAGUUUCGGGAUUUUGGUUGGUUUAGGGUUAAUUUAUAUUACCGUUAUAUAUAUUUGCAACAAUUAACGACGGAAAAAAAAAAAUUAACCCAAAAAAAACGUUUAUUAUUUAAAUGCGAAUAUAAAAUCCGUUAUAUUAUUAUUAACCGCAUAUAAAUAACCAACCAAUUCCAACCCCGGUAUAUUAUAAAUAAUCCAUUAUUAAUUACCGAUUAAUUAUAUAAUCCAGCGAACGUUUAUAAAGGUUAAAAAUAUACAAAUUUAUUAAAUUGGUCCCACUUUUAUUUUAACCAAAUUAACGAUAAAUAGUAUUUUGCAAUUGUUUUACAAAUACCAAAACGCAUUUUUUUUUCAAAUUCGCUCCCCGAUACGGUAUUUGUUUACGCAAUCGACGAAAGGACCGAUAAUUGCAACCCAAAAAAAACAUUUACGCAAAUAAUAAAACAAUUGCAAUUAGAAUAAACCCGACGAAAAAUUAUAACUUUCGCCUAUUUUAAUAAAAUAAAAAAUUAAAUUUCGGCGAAUUCGGCGAAUUUUGCGAAUUUUGUUUUUUUAAAAAAAAUAGCGAUAUUUGAUUUGUUAAUUAAUUUUAAACGGGAUAAAUUAGGAAUUUGGUCCGAUAUAAAUAAUAAACAAUUAUAUUGGAAAUUAGCUGAAAAAAACAAAUAUCGGUCGACAAAAUACGCGACCAAUUGUUUUUUAAUAUAAAAUACGUAAAAUUGGCCUAAUUUACCCUAAUUAUAAUUAUAAUUGUCCAAUUUAUACCUAAUAAUUUUGCAAAAUUUAAAAACGGCGUUUAUAUAAUUUUUGCCGUCGAUUAAAUAUAUUUUUUGGGCAAUUGCCCCCGAUUUUAUAUUUACCCAACCGUUUAUGGCCGUUUCAACGGGGAAAUUAUAACCGCGCCAAAAAACGCCAAUAAUUUUAUUUUGCCCAAAUAUAUCGAAAUGGGCGAAAAAUAAAAACGAAAUUUUAAUAAUUGGCGAUUUUUCGAAUGCAAAUUUUAUAGGUUUUAUUUUUUUAUAAUUUCCCAUUUUAUUUACACCGCCGAAAAAAUAAACGAUAUUUUUUUAUCGAAAUUCCUAUUAUAAAUUUUUUUUUUAACCGGUACGCGAUCGAUUUUCGACGUUUAUUGGCAAAUCAUGGGCAAAAUUAAUGGCGUGCCUCCGGUGGUUUUUAUUUAUAGAUUUUAAAUUUUUUUUAAUAUUAAUUUUUAAAAAAAUUUCGACGUUUUUCCUCCAAUUUUAUAACGCAACCGUUAUUAACGGUAUUUAACCGUAUAUAUUAAAUACGUUGGGGUUUGUUUUAAAUUCGAAAAAAAAUUCCACCAUUAAAUAAUUUUUUUCGAUAAUUGCCAAAAUUAAAAUUAUUUUACCAAUGGUUUUAACAAUUAUAUAUUUCCGAAACCCAAUCCGGUCGGCCGGAAUAUUAUUUGGCCUGGAAUUUUUAUCGUUAUCGUUUUCGGGCUCCGGCUCGACCCAGGUAUUUAUUCUAUAAAAAAAUAUAUUUUUUUUUGGCGAAAUUUCGAAAUAACGGCGGAUUUGCCUAAUUUGGCCGCAAACCAAAUAAUUUUUAAUAAAAUUUAUUAAUUUUUAAUCUUAUAUUUCCACCCUAUUAAAUUAUAUAUAAAUUAUUUCGAUAUAAUCGGUCCAUUUUCGUUAAUUAUUUACGUUAUAAAAAAUUUAAAAGGUUUUUGGAACCAAAAAAUAAUUUUCGGGAUUUUUUCCAACCGUAACGAAUAUAAUCUUUUUUUUAUCGAUUUCGUACCACGAUUUAUUUCCGUUAUUUGCGAACGGGAAUUGGAAAUUAUACGACGGGUUUCCACAAUAAAAAAUUCGGUAUUGUUUGGUAUUAUAACGAAACGCCUGGAAACCGUAAUAAUAAAUUUUGUUACAAUAGGGGUAACGUACGUAAAUAUCGCUAAUAUUCCACCAAAUAAUUUUUAUUUUGGGUAUUAUUAAUUCGAAUAUCGGGAAAAAUUUACGUUUGUAAUAAUAGACGGGCGCCGUUUUUUGGUUUAUAUUUAUCGUAAUAAUACCCCAAAUUGGUGCUGCCUAACUAAUAUAACUAAUUUUUAGCCCAUUAUGCAAAAUUGGGCUAUUAAUGGUUGAAAUUACAGGAAUCCCCGGAGGAUAAAACAGCUUACGGUAUAAAAACGAUGCGGUAUAUCCCAUUUUAAAUUUUAUCGCAUUUUAAAUUUUACAAUAGAAAAUAUAUAUUAAAUGCGAUUUUAUUAAAACGGGGUAAUUUUGCCUAAAACGAUUUCGAACCCGAACGGACGAUUAAAUAUUUUCGAAUCCAGGAAAUUUUAUAAUUGGUGUUAAAAUAUUUAAAUAUUUCUAUUAAAUUUUACCACCCUAUUUGUUUUGGUUGGGUUACCGUACCGAAAUUCGUUUGUGGGACGAAAAUAUCCGCGGGUAUAUAAAAAAUCUUUUUGCAAUUCGAAUAAUUGCUAUUAAUUAAUACGAUCCAUAUUUUUAAAAACAGCGUUUCGUUAAAAAAUAAUAAUUAACCUAAUAAAAAUUGUUUUUUCAAGUUUUUCGUAUUAGCGUUUUUCCUAUUUAUUCCAAUUGGUUUUGUUGGUAUUAUUUUCAAUUUGCUAUAUAAUUGGUUAUAAUAUAAAUCCGAACUAUUUUAACAGGUAAAUAACGUUAAAAAUAACGAUUCCCGCAAACUUUGGAUUUUUCAAUCCGUUUAUAUUAAUUAUAAAACCGUGAACCUUCGAUUUUUUAAUUAAAAAAAAGUUGCAUAUUUGUUAUACCGCAUAACGUUUGUACUAAAUAUUUUGGGGAUUAUUUAUAUGGUAAUAUAUGCAAAAUUAUUAAUUCGGAGGAAAUUAAUAUUAUUACAAAUAAAAAGUGGAAAUAAAUUUUAAUAGGCCUCCUAUUUAUAUAAUAAUUGGUAAUAAUAUUACAGCCGAAAAAGGUUAUAAAAUUUUAUUUGGUAAUAUUAAACAUCUUGUAAAUACAGCCCCAAGUUGGACAGUUUGGGCUAUAUUCCAAAUAUUUCGUGGAAAUUAAAACGCCAAUAAGAACGGAUCCCGCCAAUACGCUUACCAUAUUAGCCUUUUAUUGGCAGGCAAAAAUAAUAAUUGUUAAUGUAAUUUCCUUUCCAUCUGUACCAGUAAGUUUUAAAA